GAUGAACGCUAGCUACAGGCUUAACACAUGCAAGUCGAGGGGCAGCGCAGUGUAGCAAUACAUGGGCGGCGACCGGCGCACGGGUGCGUAACGCGUAUCCAACCUUCCCGAUACUCUUGGAUAGCCUUCCGAAAGGGAGAUUAAUACAAGAUGGUGUUUCACUUUCGCAUGUUGUUGAAACUAAAGAUUUAUCGGUAUCGGAUGGGGAUGCGUGACAUUAGAUAGUAGGCGGGGUAACGGCCCACCUAGUCUACGAUGGAUAGGGGUUCUGAGAGGAAGGUCCCCCCACACUGGAACUGAGACACGGUCCAGACUCCUACGGGAGGCAGCAGUGAGGAAUAUUGGUCAAUGGGCGCAAGCCUGAACCAGCCAAGUAGCGUGAAGGAUGACUGCCCUACGGGUUGUAAACUUCUUUUGUUUGGGAAUAAAUGAUACUACGUGUAGUAUUUUGCAUGUACCUUACGAAUAAGCAUCGGCUAAUUCCGUGCCAGCAG
This 494-nucleotide ribosomal RNA is filed under the name uncultured bacterium. RNAcentral's name for it is "bacterial SSU rRNA". It matches the Rfam family "Bacterial small subunit ribosomal RNA", at positions 28 to 514 of the family's 1533-position model. The record is from RNAcentral.